GAAUAAAAAGAGCCAGGUACGAAUUCCUUGUACCUGGCAUAGGGGAAUUGGCUCUUUGCAGAGCCGUGCGCUAACUGGUCACAGAUAAAAUAAAGCGUAGCCAAGGGCGAUGGCUUUGCAAGAUC
Molecule: non-coding RNA, 125 nt
Organism: Aeromonas molluscorum 848
Lineage: Bacteria; Pseudomonadati; Pseudomonadota; Gammaproteobacteria; Aeromonadales; Aeromonadaceae
Source: Rfam